Molecule: ribosomal RNA, 252 nt
Filed under: uncultured bacterium
Lineage: Bacteria
Description: partial 16S ribosomal RNA
Rfam family: Bacterial small subunit ribosomal RNA
Source: RNAcentral
UACGUAGGUCCCGAGCGUUGUCCGGAUUUAUUAGGCGUGAAGCGAGCGCAGGUGGUUUAUUAAGUCUGGUGUAAAAGGCAGUGGCUCAACCAUUGUAUGCAUUGGAAACUGGUAGACUUGAGUGCAGGAGAGGAGAGUGGAAUUCCAUGUGUAGCGGUGAAAUGCGUAGAUAUAUGGAGGAACACCGGUGGCGAAAGCGGCUCUCUGGCCUGUAACUGACACUGAGGCUCGAAAGCGUGGGGAGCAAACAGG